GAGUUUGAUCCUGGCUCAGGAUUAACGCUAGCGGCAGGCCUAAUACAUGCAAGUCGAGGGGCAGCGGGGGUAGCAAUACUUGCCGGCGACCGGCGCACGGGUGCGUAACGCGUAUGCAACCUACCUAUGACUGGGGAAUAGCCUUCUGAAAGGAAGAUUAACACCGCAUAAAAUCACGAGACGGCAUCGCCUUGUGAUCAAAUCUCCGGAGGUUAUAGAUGGGCAUGCGUGACAUUAGCUAGUUGGUGAGGUAACGGCUCACCAAGGCGACGAUGUCUAGGGGGUCUGAGAGGAUGAUCCCCCACACUGGUACUGAGACACGGACCAGACUCCUACGGGAGGCAGCAGUAAGGAAUAUUGGACAAUGGGCGCAAGCCUGAUCCAGCCAUGCCGCGUGAAGGAUGACGGCCCUCCGGGUUGUAAACUUCUUUUAUACGGGAAUAAACCCCCUGAUUCUUCAGGGGCUGAAUGUACCGUAAGAAUAAGGAUCGGCUAACUUCGUGCCAGCAGCCGCGGUAAUACGAAGGAUCCAAGCGUUAUCCGGAUUUAUUGGGUUUAAAGGGUGCGUAGGCGGACUAUUAAGUCAGUGGUGAAAGCCUGCAGCUUAACUGCAGAACUGCCAUUGAUACUGAUGGUCUUGAGUACAUUUGAGGUGGGCGGAAUGUGUCAUGUAGUGGUGAAAUACUUAGAUAUGACACAGAACUCCGAUUGCGAAGGCAGCUCACUAAACUGUAACUGACGCUGAGGCACGAAAGCGUGGGGAUCAAACAGGAUUAGAUACCCUGGUAGUCCACGCCCUA
RNAcentral lists this ribosomal RNA (800 nucleotides) under uncultured bacterium. RNAcentral describes it as "bacterial SSU rRNA". It matches the Rfam family "Bacterial small subunit ribosomal RNA", at positions 9 to 804 of the family's 1533-position model. The record is from RNAcentral.